RNAcentral lists this ribosomal RNA (330 nucleotides) under uncultured bacterium. Its description in RNAcentral is "bacterial SSU rRNA". It matches the Rfam family "Bacterial small subunit ribosomal RNA", at positions 8 to 334 of the family's 1533-position model. The record is from RNAcentral.
AGGGUUUGAUUCUGGCUCAGGAUGAACGCUGGCGGCGUGCUUAACACAUGCAAGUCGAACGGACGGAUUGGAGCUUGCUCCAUGAAGUUAGUGGCGGACGGGUGAGUAACGCGUGGGUAACCUGCCCUAUGCAGGGGGAUAACGUUUGGAAACGAACGCUAAUACCGCAUAACCUAGUUGGUUCGCAUGAACCGACUAGCAAAGAUUUUAUCGGCAUAGGAUGGACCCGCGUUGGAUUAGCUAGUUGGUGAGAUAACAGCCCACCAAGGCAACGAUCCAUAGCCGGCCUGAGAGGGUGAACGGCCACACUGGGACUGAGACACGGCCCAG